Molecule: unclassified non-coding RNA, 256 nt
Filed under: Basidiomycota sp.
Lineage: Eukaryota; Fungi; Basidiomycota
Description: partial contains small subunit ribosomal RNA, internal transcribed spacer 1, and 5.8S ribosomal RNA
Rfam family: Eukaryotic small subunit ribosomal RNA (bases 1-47)
Source: RNAcentral
AAAGUCGUAACAAGGUUUCCGUAGGUGAACCUGCGGAAGGAUCAUUACUGAAUUGUGGGCUGGUGGGAAGGGGGGAGGUGUGGUUUGUGGAUGGAUUUGUGGAUUAGAUUGUAAGAUUUAACCACCAAUUACCAAUCACCAACCACCAUCAACCUCCCCUAACUACCACUACUUAUAUUUACGCUUGAAUUGUUUGACAGAGUAAAAAUACAUGUAAAAUAAUAGACAACUUUUAACAAUGGAUCUCUUGGCUCUU